Molecule: long non-coding RNA, 430 nt
Filed under: Helianthus annuus (common sunflower)
Lineage: Eukaryota; Viridiplantae; Streptophyta; Magnoliopsida; Asterales; Asteraceae
Description: hypothetical non coding rna
Source: RNAcentral
GAAGGAUCUGAUUUGGGGGUUGGGCGGUGGAUUUGAGCCAAAGUUUCUUUUAACUUUUGUCUUUUACACAUCGGAUCUUUUCGCUGUCAAAUAUAUCCCAAAUUGAUCAGUUUUCACACAUACGGGCUGAAAUUUGACACCUCUAAGUUCUCUUAGGAGAGCUGAAGCUAGGGGAGCUAUUAGACACACCUCCUCCUGGUUUAGAUGAAGCUAUUGCAAUCUCUAAGGUUAUACAAUUUCUUGAAUCGCAAGAGUAUAGCAUGUUUACGCGUAUAGUUUUUGAUACUGCACCCACAGGUCAUACACUGCGGCUUUUGUCAUUGCCUGAUUUCAUGGAUAAAUCGAUUGGGAAGAUACUGAAUAUUGGGGAUUAAAGAUCAAAUUUAUAUACUCUGUAUCUGUAUUUCGGGGGAAAUGAGAAGUUAUUAGG